GUGGGGAAUAUUGGACAAUGGGCGCAAGCCUGAUCCAGCCAUGCCGCGUGAGUGAAGAAGGCCCUCGGGUUGUAAAGCUCUUUGAGCGGGGAGGAAGGUUCGCAACUUAAUACGUUGUGGAAUUGACGUUACCUGCAGAACAAGCACCGGCUAACUCUGUGCCAGCAGCCGCGGUAAUACAGAGGGUGCGAGCGUUAAUCGGAAUUACUGGGCGUAAAGCGUGCGUAGGCGGCUUCUUAAGCUGGAUGUGAAAUCCCCGGGCUUAACCUGGGAACUGCAUUCAGAACUGGGAAGCUGGAGUCUGUGAGAGGGUGGUGGAAUUUCCGGUGUAGCGGUGAAAUGCGUAGAUAUCGGAAGGAACAUCAGUGGCGAAGGCGACCACCUGGCAUAAGACUGACGCUGAGGCACGAAAGCGUGGGGAGCAAACAGGAUUAGAUACCCGAGUAGUCC
RNAcentral lists this ribosomal RNA (450 nucleotides) under uncultured bacterium. RNAcentral's name for it is "bacterial SSU rRNA". It matches the Rfam family "Bacterial small subunit ribosomal RNA", at positions 354 to 796 of the family's 1533-position model. The record is from RNAcentral.